This 316-nucleotide unclassified non-coding RNA is filed under the name Hevea brasiliensis (rubber tree). Lineage: Eukaryota; Viridiplantae; Streptophyta; Magnoliopsida; Malpighiales; Euphorbiaceae. The record is from RNAcentral.
UUUUUUUUCCCUUUACUUUUUGUUUUUGAAAUUUUCCUAGCACGAUAUUCUUUGUAUGUGAUUGUAAGUUUUUCAUCGGAAUCGAGAAAAGGAAAACUUAUUUAAAAGUUUGUAGGACUUUUCUCCGUGGCAUCUUCGUCUUCUGAUGGUGUUGGUGGUUGAGUGGUUGCACAUACCAUUUGGUCAGUGGUUUUAUCGAGUCUUCACUUAGAUUGUGAAAGGCGAGUGUCAAUGGAAGUGGUAUUUGGCUGUUGGCUCAAAUGAUUGUAAUUAAUUGAGAUACAAUUUGACCUAGCAACGGAAAUCUCAACGACCA